UCGGGAAUUUUGGGCAAUGGGCGAAAGCCUGACCCAGCAACGCCGCGUGUGGGAUGAAGGCCCUCGGGUCGUAAACCACUGUCAGGAGGAAAGAAAAGUCGGCCGGAUAAUACUCGGUCGACCUGACGGUACCUCCAAAGGAAGCACCGGCUAACUCCGUGCCAGCAGCCGCGGUAAGACGGAGGGCGCAAGCGUUGUUCGGAAUUACUGGGCGUAAAGCGCGGGCAGGCGGUCUGUUAAGUCGUUUGUGAAAAUCCGGGGCUCAACCCCGGAAAUGCAUACGAUACUGGCAGGCUGGAGACUGGUAGAGGCUAGCGGAAUUCCUGGUGUAGCGGUGGAAUGCGUAGAUAUCAGGAAGAACACCUGUGGCGAAGGCGGCUAGCUGGGCCAGUUCUGACGCUGAUCCGCGAAAGCGUGGGGAGCAAACAGGAUUAGAUACCCCGGUAGUCCCUGAGCGGGCUGGCAAGGCGCAU
This 473-nucleotide ribosomal RNA is filed under the name uncultured bacterium. Its description in RNAcentral is "bacterial SSU rRNA". It matches the Rfam family "Bacterial small subunit ribosomal RNA", at positions 355 to 825 of the family's 1533-position model. The record is from RNAcentral.